RNAcentral lists this ribosomal RNA (242 nucleotides) under uncultured Actinomycetales bacterium. Its description in RNAcentral is "partial 16S ribosomal RNA". It matches the Rfam family "Bacterial small subunit ribosomal RNA", at positions 89 to 334 of the family's 1533-position model. Lineage: Bacteria; Bacillati; Actinomycetota; Actinomycetes; Actinomycetales. The record is from RNAcentral.
CGUCGAGUGGCGAACGGGUGAGUAACACGUGGGUGAUCUGCCUUGCACUCUGGGAUAAGCUUGGGAAACUGGGUCUAAUACCGGAUAGGAACCGUCUUUAGUGUGGUGGUUGGAAAGUUUUUUCGGUGCAAGAUGAGCUCGCGGCCUAUCAGCUUGUUGGUGGGGUAAUGGCCUACCAAGGCGUCGACGGGUAGCCGGCCUGAGAGGGUGUACGGCCACAUUGGGACUGAGAUACGGCCCAG